Long non-coding RNA from Dipodomys spectabilis (banner-tailed kangaroo rat), 96 nucleotides. RefSeq lists it as uncharacterized. The record is from RefSeq and is a predicted model, not a curated record. NCBI's taxonomy places the organism in Eukaryota, Metazoa, Chordata, Mammalia, Rodentia, Heteromyidae. The transcript is spliced from 3 exons.
CUUUGUCUCAGGUCUGUGAUGGCGACUCAAACUCUGUACCUGACACUUUCAUUCAUUGGCUGGUGCUCUACCAACGGAGCCAUGCCUCCAAUCCCU